UGGGGAAUAUUGCACAAUGGAGGGAACUCUGAUGCAGCGACGCCGCGUGAGUGAUGAAGGAAUUCGUUUCGUAAAACUCUGUUCUAUGGGAAGAAAAGGACUGUACCAUAGGAGAAAGCUCCGGCUAAAUACGUGCCAGCAGCCGCGGUAAUACGUAUGGAGCGAGCGUUGUCCGGAAUUAUUGGGCGUAAAGGGUGCGCAGGCGGCUUUACAAGUUGGAUGUGAAAUAUUGUGGCUCAACCACAAACGUGCAUCCAAAACUGCAAAGCUUGAGUUAAGGAGAGGUAAGUGGAAUUCCUGGUGUAGCGGUGGAAUGCGUAGAUAUCAGGAGGAAUACCGGUGGCGAAGGCGACUUACUGGACUUAAACUGACGCUCAGGCACGAAAGCGUGGGGAGCAAUCAGG
RNAcentral lists this ribosomal RNA (404 nucleotides) under Fusobacteriota bacterium. Its description in RNAcentral is "Fusobacteria bacterium partial 16S ribosomal RNA". It matches the Rfam family "Bacterial small subunit ribosomal RNA", at positions 355 to 776 of the family's 1533-position model. Lineage: Bacteria; Fusobacteriati; Fusobacteriota. The record is from RNAcentral.